UGUCGUGGGAUGAGAAAGGCGAUCUGAAAGGAUUUGAGUUCGGCGUGUUUGACUGGCAUGCGAAUGGUACGGCGACAGACGCUAAGUAAUUUUCCUGGCGCCUUUCGCGCUGCAGGUGCGUUGGCUAUGACUGCGAGCGUGACGGCGCGAGCAGGUGCGAAAGCAGGUCAUAGUGAUCCGGUGGUUCUGAAUGGAAGGGCCAUCGCUCAACGGAUAAAAGGUACUCCGGGGAUAACAGGCUGAUACCGCCCAAG
This 254-nucleotide ribosomal RNA is filed under the name Salmonella enterica subsp. enterica serovar Anatum. Its description in RNAcentral is "partial 23S ribosomal RNA". It matches the Rfam family "Bacterial large subunit ribosomal RNA", at positions 2322 to 2496 of the family's 2925-position model. The record is from RNAcentral. Lineage: Bacteria; Pseudomonadati; Pseudomonadota; Gammaproteobacteria; Enterobacterales; Enterobacteriaceae.